Non-coding RNA from Suillus spraguei, 82 nucleotides. The record is from the annotation of a GenBank genome assembly. NCBI's taxonomy places the organism in Eukaryota, Fungi, Basidiomycota, Agaricomycetes, Boletales, Suillaceae.
GGCCGCCUGGCGAAAUGGCAUCGCGUCUGACUACGAUAAUGAAGGAAUCAGGAGAUUGCAGGUUCGACCCCUGCGGUGGUCA